Non-coding RNA from Triticum urartu, 1557 nucleotides. The record is from RefSeq and is a predicted model, not a curated record. NCBI's taxonomy places the organism in Eukaryota, Viridiplantae, Streptophyta, Magnoliopsida, Poales, Poaceae.
UCAGCUUCAAAGUAGAGAGCACAAAGCUUAUCUCAACCUUGGAAUAGUUACCUUCGUCUCUCCACCACCCACCCCGUCCGUACGAGGAAGAGGACCCUCUUCUCUUCCCGUCCCGACCCGGAGCCCUCCGCCGCCGCCGCCGCUCGCCUCCUCGUCGCGUCCCUGCCCCCGUCCGCAAUCUCCGGAACCCCGGUCUUCGAGAUUACAUCAUGCUUUCCCUGAGGUGUUGGGCGCCCGCAUUCGGGUUAGCGUUCGAGAGAGCCGUCGUUCUGCGCCCUCGAAAGUUCAACUCUUUGGUGGUUUGCGGUGCCAGGGGUCCGAGGCCGAGAUAUCCUCGCGUGUGGAAAACUGACAAGAGAAUCGGGACCGUUUCCAAGUCGCAGAAGCUUGUCAAAUGUAUUAAGGGUUUGUCUAAUGUAAAGGAGGAAGUCUAUGGUGCCCUUGAUUCAUUUGUUGCAUGGGAACUGGAGUUUCCCUUGAUAGCGGUAAAGAAAGCACUGAAGACGCUUGAAGAUGAGAAGGAAUGGAAAAGAAUAAUUCAGGUUAUCAAGUGGAUGUUCAAUAAAGGUCAAGGGAAGACCAUGGGAAGCUAUCAAACUUUAUUAAAUGCUUUAGUCGAGGAUGGGCGAAUUGAGGAAGCAGAAGAGCUAUUUCAAAAGAUAUUCUCAAGAUAUAUGGAGGGUUUGCCCCGUAUUUUUUUCAUGAAAAUGAUCUCCUUGUAUUACAGAUUGGGGUCAUACGAGAAGAUGUUUGAGGUUUUUGCUGAUAUGGAAGAGCUGGGUGUUCGACCUGAUACCUCGAUUGUCAGGAUGCUCGGUGAUGUAUUUAUGAAGCUAGAGAUGUUGGACAAAUAUGAAAAGUUAAAUAGGAAAUAUCCACCGCCAAAAUUUGAAUACCGAUACAUCAAAGGCAAGCGCAUAAGGAUAAGGGUUUAUCCAGACGAUAGUACUGAAGAGGUAACACAGAGAGACUCUGGUAGAGAUGAACUGGAAGAUGCAGGAAGCAUGAAUCCUGACAAUGAAUUAGAAGAAGUGCCAGGAACAGGCCUGGACAUGAAUGUAUUAGGCGAUGCGGCUUCUGGAGACCUUGAAUUUGUAUAGCUCAGAACUUGAAUGUGGCGUUUUCGUGUCUGCUUCAUCAUAGCAGUUGUGCUGCAACUCUUUUCUAUAAUCUAGCAAUAUUAGGCCACUCUUGCCAUAUUUGGAAACAAAAGCUGUCCAACAAUUUGGCUGAAGAUGUUCAGCUGUUCAGUAAAUGAUAUGGAUACAGUCCUUGAUGUCUUUGUUGUGUUGUAUUCAUCAAGGAUUGUGCAUUGGUGCGGGAGAGAAGCAGCUCAUUCUGGAUACAUUGCAAGUUUUCACCAUGUCCUGAGACGGAUGGACUUAAAAUCCUGACUACGGUCACACGAGAUGCUUUGGGUAAUGUUCAACUGUUUCAGGAAACAUGUACAAGUAUUAUUUGUAGCACUAGCAUUAGACAGUAGUACGUAUCUGAAAUGGAAUGGUUGUACUAGAAAACCUUAGAUGUUAGUAAUAUCGAUCGGGUGUUGUAGAUGAA